AGAGUUUGAUCCUGGCUCAGAUUGAACGCUGGCGGCAUGCCUUACACAUGCNAGUCGAACGGCAGCACGGGAGCAAUCCUGGUGGCGAGUGGCGAACGGGUGAGUAAUACAUCGGAACGUGUCCUGUCGUGGGGGAUAACUACUCGAAAGAGUAGCUAAUACCGCAUACGCCCUGAGGGGGAAAGCGGGGGACUCGCAAGAGCCUCGCGCGAUUGGAGCGGCCGAUGUCAGAUUAGCUAGUUGGUAGGGUAAAAGCCUACCAAGGCGACGAUCUGUAGCUGGUCUGAGAGGACGACCAGCCACACUGGGACUGAGACACGGCCCAGACUCCUACGGGAGGCAGCAGUGGGGAAUUUUGGACAAUGGGCGAAAGCCUGAUCCAGCCAUGCCGCGUGAGUGAAGAAGGCCUUCGGGUUGUAAAGCUCUUUCGGACAGAAAGAAAUCGCAUGAACUAAUACUUUGUGCGGAUGACGGUACUGUAAGAAGAAGCACCGGCUAACUACGUGCCAGCAGCCGCGGUAAUACGUAGGGUGCGAGCGUUAAUCGGAAUUACUGGGCGUAAAGGGUGCGCAGGCGGUUAUAUAAGACAGAUGUGAAAUCCCCGGGCUCAACCUGGGAACUGCGUUUGUGACUGUAUGACUAGAGUACGGUAGAGAGGGGUGGAAUUCCUGGUGUAGCAGUGAAAUGCGUANAUAUCAGGAGGAACAU
Molecule: ribosomal RNA, 708 nt
Filed under: uncultured bacterium
Lineage: Bacteria
Description: bacterial SSU rRNA
Rfam family: Bacterial small subunit ribosomal RNA
Source: RNAcentral